UAUUCUGGUUUACGACCGUAUCUGUCUUUCGAACGAAUGUAUCUAUUCGAAUGUAUUCGAAAAUGGUAUUCUUGUUUUCGUUCGUAUCCGUAUCGACCACGAUUCGUAUGCGAAAAAGUGUUGCCGUAUCAGCACUCUUUCGAACCAAUUCUAAGCUGUCAAAAAAAGUAAACAGAAUGUUUUUUUCUUUUAUUUGCCAUUACUCAAAACUUCGUCGUUUGUGGUUCCUGAAUAACAUUGUGGCCGGAGAUCCGGAUUUUUAGGCAUUUAAGUGAUUGAACGGGAUGGAAACAUUGAUGCUGGUCGCUGUGGGAGACGAGGAUGAGAUGGAGCAUAGGAGACGGCUAUGAUCCAAUUUCCGGGAGCAGAUCAAUGUUGUUGAAAUGCCUGAUUCAGAGUUUACCAACAACUUUCAUUCAAUUAGGCGGCAUAUCAGCCAACCUUGAAGAAAUCAAGGAUAAAUUCUUCCUCGAAAACAAGUGGGUCUCAAUGGUGCACGGGCCUGUUGAUUCUUUACGUUUUGAUGCGGGAAAGGGCUUCGUUCUGGAAAGAGAAAAUUCCCAAUGGUGGAGAAGGUUCAGAUGUCGGGCGAAAAAAUACGCCGGACCUCCUCCAGCGGUUAUUGACUGUCCUCUUCCGGAAAACACUACUUGAUUUAAGCCUAGGAGUGCCUUUGGCGUCGAAACAAAACGAGGAGUAUUGGCAGACACCCUUGAUGUUUCAUGGUGAAAUUAUGGACAUAAAUUAUGACAAAAUACAAAAUAAUUAAAUAAGGGUAGUACAUCACAAAA
RNAcentral lists this long non-coding RNA (791 nucleotides) under Aedes aegypti (yellow fever mosquito). RNAcentral describes it as "lncRNA AAEL023904". The record is from RNAcentral. Lineage: Eukaryota; Metazoa; Arthropoda; Insecta; Diptera; Culicidae.